UCUAAGGAUUGUGGGAAAUGUAGUU
This 25-nucleotide non-coding RNA is filed under the name Rattus norvegicus (Norway rat). Lineage: Eukaryota; Metazoa; Chordata; Mammalia; Rodentia; Muridae. The record is from RNAcentral.